AUAGCGUAUAUUUAAGUUGUUGCAGUUAAAAAGCUCGUAGUUGGACUUUGGGUUGGGCUUAACGGUCGGCCGUGAGGUUCGUACUGUUGUGCCCUUUCUUCUUCUCGAAGACCACGUGUGCUCUUAACUGAGUGUGCGUGGGGUUCGGGACUUUUACUGUGAGAAAAUUAGAGUGUUCAAAGCAGGCGUUUGCUUGAAUAUUGCAGCAUGGAAUAAUGGAAUAGGAUCACGAUCUUAUUUUGUUGGUUUCUAGGAUCGAGAUAAUGAUUAAUAGGGAUAGUUGGGGGCAUCCGUAUUCAAUUGUCAGAGGUGAAAUUCUUGGAUUUAUGAAAGACGAACUACUG
Molecule: ribosomal RNA, 344 nt
Filed under: uncultured eukaryote
Lineage: Eukaryota
Description: SSU rRNA
Rfam family: Eukaryotic small subunit ribosomal RNA
Source: RNAcentral